This 71-nucleotide transfer RNA is filed under the name Bacillota bacterium. RNAcentral's name for it is "tRNA-Gln". It matches the Rfam family "tRNA". From Rfam's summary of the family: Transfer RNA (tRNA) molecules are approximately 80 nucleotides in length. Their secondary structure includes four short double-helical elements and three loops (D, anti-codon, and T loops). RNAcentral also lists the same sequence under 2 other names. The record is from RNAcentral. Lineage: Bacteria; Bacillati; Bacillota.
AGGACCAUAGCCAAGCGGUAAGGCAAUUGGCUCUGACCCAAUGAUCGGAGGUUCGAAUCCUCCUGGUCCUG